CCUACGGGAGGCAGCAGUGAGGAAUAUUGGUCAAUGGACGGAAGUCUGAACCAGCCAUGCCGCGUGCAGGAAGACGGCUCUAUGAGUUGUAAACUGCUUUUGUACAAGGGUAAACCUGAAUACGUGUAUUCAGCUGAAAGUACUGUACGAAUAAGGAUCGGCUAACUCCGUGCCAGCAGCCGCGGUAAGACGGAGGAUCCAAGCGUUAUCCGGAUUUAUUGGGUUUAAAGGGUGCGUAGGGGGAUGGAUAAGUCAGUGGUGAAAUAUCCGGGCUUAACUCGGGAACUGCCUCUAAUACUGGUGGUCUUGAGGGUAGGUGCGGUAGGCGGAAUUUAUGGUGUAGCGGUGAAAUGCUUAGAGAUCAGACAGAACACCGAUUGCGAAGGCAGCUUACCAAUCUAUAUCUGACGUUGAGGCACGAAAGCGUGGGGAGCAAACAGGAUUAGAUACCCGAGUAGUC
RNAcentral lists this ribosomal RNA (460 nucleotides) under uncultured bacterium. RNAcentral's name for it is "partial 16S ribosomal RNA". It matches the Rfam family "Bacterial small subunit ribosomal RNA", at positions 338 to 795 of the family's 1533-position model. The record is from RNAcentral.